Long non-coding RNA from Mytilus californianus (California mussel), 236 nucleotides. RefSeq lists it as uncharacterized. Lineage: Eukaryota; Metazoa; Mollusca; Bivalvia; Mytilida; Mytilidae. The transcript is spliced from 4 exons. The record is from RefSeq and is a predicted model, not a curated record.
UCCCCUUUCAGUUCCAUCCUUAUGACUAAUCCACUUGGAGGUCCCCUUUCUUUUCCAUCCUUAUGACUAAUCCACUUGGAGGUCCCCUUUCUUUUCCAUCCUUAUGACUAAUCCACUUGGAGGUCCCCUUUCUUUUCCAUCCUUAUGACUAAUCCACUUGGAGGUCCCCUUUCUGUUUCAUCCUUAUGACUACUCCAUUUGGAGGUCCCCUUUCUUUUCCAUCCUUAUGUCUAAUC